Ailuropoda melanoleuca (giant panda) is the source of this 109-nucleotide Y RNA. It matches the Rfam family "Y RNA". From Rfam's summary of the family: Y RNAs are components of the Ro ribonucleoprotein particle (Ro RNP), in association with Ro60 and La proteins. The Y RNAs and Ro60 and La proteins are well conserved, but the function of the Ro RNP is not known. In humans the RNA component can be one of four small RNAs -- hY1, hY3, hY4 and hY5. Lineage: Eukaryota; Metazoa; Chordata; Mammalia; Carnivora; Ursidae. The record is from Ensembl.
AGCUGGUUCAAAGGUAGUGAGUUGCCAAAGCGGAUUUCUCACAGUCAGGUACAGAUGAAACUUUUUGUUCUCUUUCACUUCUUCUCACUACUGCUUUGAUUAGCUUUUG